CUCAAUUUCUUGAUUUUGUUAACUUACUGGAGAGAUUUAUUUGAACAUCAGCUAUUACUCCUAUUUCUGCGUGAGCCUGCCGUCCUUACUCUUUUCUUUAUAGGAUUAGGUUGUCUCUGUGAUCUGACAAGAAAAUGGCUGAGGAGAAGAUCGCUAUUGCUAAAGAUGUUACUGAGCUGAUUGGUAAAACGCCACUGGUAUAUCUCAACCAUGUUGUGGAUGGCUGUGUGGCUCGCAUUGCUGCUAAGCUAGAGCUGAUGGAACCUUGUUCAAGUGUUAAAGAUAGGAUUGGAUAUAGCAUGAUUGCAGAUGCAGAGGAGAAAGGUCUCAUCAAGCCGGGUGAGAGUGUCCUCAUUGAGCCCACAAGUGGCAAUACUGGCAUAGGGCUGGCAUUCAUGGCAGCUGCUAAGGGGUACAAGCUCAUAAUUACAAUGCCUGCUUCUAUGAGUCUAGAAAGAAGAAUGGUUCUUCGUGCUUUUGGAGCUGAGCUGGUUCUUACUGAUCCAGCAAGGGGCAUGAAAGGGGCUGUUCAGAAGGCGGAGGAAAUAUUAGCUAAGACACCAAAUUCUUAUAUCCUGCAGCAAUUUGAAAACCCUGCCAACCCAAAGAUCCACUAUGAGACCACUGGACCAGAGAUCUGGAAAGGCUCAGGUGGAAAAGUUGAUGCUCUUGUUUCUGGGAUUGGGACUGGGGGUACAGUGACAGGUGCAGGGCAGUAUCUUAAGGAGCAAAACCCUGAUAUUAAGCUUUAUGGUGUAGAGCCAGUUGAAAGUGCUGUGUUGUCAGGAGGGAAACCUGGCCCACAUAAGAUCCAAGGAAUUGGUGCUGGCUUUAUUCCUGGAGUUUUGGACGUUGGUAUACUUGAUGAAGUUGUUCAAAUAUCAAGUGAAGAAUCAAUUGAAACUGCUAAGCUUCUUGCCUUGAAAGAAGGGUUGCUGGCAGGGAUAUCUUCUGGUGCUGCUGCAGCUGCAGCAAUUAGGAUCGCAAAGAGGCCUGAAAAUGCUGGAAAACUCAUUGUUGUGGUCUUCCCCAGCUUUGGAGAACGUUACCUAUCAUCUGUGCUUUUUGAAUCUGUGAAGCAUGAAGCAGAGAACAUGACUUUUGAGCCUUGAGGUAUAGAGAGGAUGGGCUAAGAGGAGCAAUACUGUCUACGGUUUCAAUGAUUUACUUGUUCCUAGUUUCCUAAUCAGAACAAUGUGGGGUCUUUUCUGCUCUUUGUAUCGUAUUAAGGAAAGCUUGUGGGUUGACUUGCAACUGUUGUGAUGAAUAAUAAAUUUUUGGCCAAAACAUUGAGAAACAAGUGAUUAUCUUUCCUUAAAGGAAUGUUACAUAGAUUCACCCAUAGAUUUUCUUUCCUUUUCGAAUAAUUCACCUGUAGUUUUAUUUUAGGAUAUCAUUGAUCUAUGGUUGUUUACUUACAACAAGCCCAUUGUAUUUCUUUCACUUUUUAAAGAGAGUUCAUCCACCCAUA
This 1471-nucleotide unclassified non-coding RNA is filed under the name Hevea brasiliensis (rubber tree). Lineage: Eukaryota; Viridiplantae; Streptophyta; Magnoliopsida; Malpighiales; Euphorbiaceae. The record is from RNAcentral.